RNAcentral lists this ribosomal RNA (723 nucleotides) under Vibrio cholerae. RNAcentral describes it as "partial 23S ribosomal RNA". It matches the Rfam family "Bacterial large subunit ribosomal RNA", at positions 1 to 771 of the family's 2925-position model. The record is from RNAcentral. Lineage: Bacteria; Pseudomonadati; Pseudomonadota; Gammaproteobacteria; Vibrionales; Vibrionaceae.
GUUGUAUGGUUAAGUGACUAAGCGUACACGGUGGAUGCCUGGGCAGUCAGAGGCGAUGAAGGACGUACUAACUUGCGAUAAGCGCAGAUAAGGCAGUAAGAGCCGUUUGAGUCUGCGAUUUCCGAAUGGGGAAACCCAACUGCAUAAGCAGUUACUGUUAACUGAAUACAUAGGUUAACAGAGCAAACCGGGGGAACUGAAACAUCUAAGUACCCCGAGGAGAAGAAAUCAACCGAGAUUCCGGUAGUAGCGGCGAGCGAACCUGGAUUAGCCCUUAAGCACUCGGUGAAGUAGGUGAACAAGCUGGAAAGCUUGGCGAUACAGGGUGAUAGCCCCGUAACCGACGCUUCAUCGAGCGUGAAAUCGAGUAGGGCGGGACACGUGAUAUCCUGUCUGAAUAUGGGGGGACCAUCCUCCAAGGCUAAAUACUCCUGACUGACCGAUAGUGAACCAGUACCGUGAGGGAAAGGCGAAAAGAACCCCUGUGAGGGGAGUGAAAUAGAACCUGAAACCGUGUACGUACAAGCAGUAGGAGCACCUUCGUGGUGUGACUGCGUACCUUUUGUAUAAUGGGUCAGCGACUUAUAUUCAGUGGCAAGGUUAACCGUAUAGGGGAGCCGUAGCGAAAGCGAGUCUUAACUGGGCGCUCAGUCUCUGGAUAUAGACCCGAAACCGGGUGAUCUAGCCAUGGGCAGGUUGAAGGUUGAGUAACAUCAACUGGAG